AUGGGCAUCAAGAUGGAAUCACAGACUCAGGUCAUCAUAUUUGUACUUCUCUGGUUGUCUGAUACCAAUGGGCGCACUGUGAUGAUCCAGUCUCCCAAAUCCAUGUCCACAUUGGGAGGAGACUCGGUCACCAUGAGCUGCACAGGCAGUCAGAAUAUGGGUAGUUAUAUAUCCUGGAACCAACAGAAACCAGGGCAGUCUCCUAAACUGCUUAUAUCUUGGGCAUUCAAUUGGUACACUGGGGUCCGUGGUUACUUCAUAGGCAGUGUGUCUGGGAUUACCAUCAGCAGUGCACAGGCUAAAGACCUGGCAGUUUAUUACUGUAAGCAGCAUUAUGAUACUCCUCUCAUAGUGCUUCAGCCUCCUACACAAACCUCCUUGAGAGCCUCACCAGAUGCCUGUAGCACACACAGCCCUGGUCUGCACACUGCCCACUUCUGCCUGGGAGCUGCUAUGCCUGUCUAA
Rattus norvegicus (Norway rat) is the source of this 465-nucleotide non-coding RNA. Lineage: Eukaryota; Metazoa; Chordata; Mammalia; Rodentia; Muridae. The record is from the annotation of a RefSeq genome assembly.